Molecule: long non-coding RNA, 524 nt
Filed under: Cavia porcellus (domestic guinea pig)
Lineage: Eukaryota; Metazoa; Chordata; Mammalia; Rodentia; Caviidae
Description: lncRNA (ENSCPOG00000036079.1)
Source: RNAcentral
GACGGUCGGCGCUGGAGUCGGCGAGCUCUGCGCCGGACGCGGCGAGGCGGGGUCUGAUGGGCAUGGCAGGCGCUCGCUCGCUCCUCGCUCGCUCCUCGCUUGCUCCCUCACACACGCGCGGAGGGGAGGCGAAGCCGCAGCAGCCACUUCCCAACUUUCCAAACUUCCCAGCGCAACUUUUUCCUCUCCUCCCCUACCCGCUCCUCCUCCUCCUCCCUCCUCCUUCCCUUUCCCCUGGCCUGCUCCCCGCCGGGCCGGAGCUUCCGCGCGCCGCCGCCAGAGGGUGCCCGGGCCGAGGACCUGCUCGGCGACUCGCAGGCUCAGAGGGCCCUACAAGAGACAAAAUAUGUAGACAUUGGCCUCAGGAAUUAGAGUCCAUGUUCCUUUCCACAAGAAAGAGGAAUGAACCAAAGACACCUCGAAGUGAUAAAGCAGGGCUGCAAAUGCAACACACAACAGUACCACUGGACCAGUUUCUGAGGAGGAAUCAUCUUCAUGUGCAGAAAUCUAGCUCCAUCCUGUGA